CACAAUUUAUCAAAAUUUUAAUUCCCAAUUUAAAAAUGUAUUCACAGUCAUGAGUCAUGGCUGAGGAUUUCAACAUAAGGCAAGUCUUAAAGGCAAAUAAUGCAAGCACAGCAGAAAAUUAAAAGAACAAAAAAAGAUUUCUUAACCUCCAAUGUUGUCUAACACUGUUAUAUAUACAAUAAACAUUGUAACUUGUUUGCAAAAACAUUAUACAGUCACAUCAUAAGGUCUAUCUUUAAAUUAAAAUUGUUGAAUUUGUUAUUUAAUUAAUAUAAUAAUAAAGUUUGCAUUGAUUAAUGAGCUGCAUUCAAGAUUAUCAACAAUGAGUCCUCAAUAUGGGUGUUUUUUUUUUUUUG
This is a non-coding RNA of Biomphalaria pfeifferi, 356 nucleotides long. The record is from the annotation of a GenBank genome assembly. Lineage: Eukaryota; Metazoa; Mollusca; Gastropoda; Planorbidae.